UAUCUUUACAUAAGUGUUGCAAAAUAGUCAUUCCGUUAAAUUUUAAAGUAACACCGUUAGUGAGAUCAAUUUUAGUGCCACGUGAACUAUCCAAUAUAGCACUAAAGGAUGACGUGACAUGACAUGUGGACGUGUCUCCUAAAAGAUGUCACGUCAUUUUGAAAGUCCACGAGACAUUUCACAACCUUUGCAAUGCAUGGACACUUUAAGCACGAUUUCUGACAUCUUUUAAGUUAGAGACUAUUUUGCAAUACUUAUGCAAAAGAU
Molecule: microRNA precursor, 267 nt
Filed under: Glycine max (soybean)
Lineage: Eukaryota; Viridiplantae; Streptophyta; Magnoliopsida; Fabales; Fabaceae
Description: miR1519 stem-loop (gma-MIR1519)
Source: miRBase by way of RNAcentral